Molecule: ribosomal RNA, 492 nt
Filed under: uncultured bacterium
Lineage: Bacteria
Description: partial 16S ribosomal RNA
Rfam family: Bacterial small subunit ribosomal RNA
Source: RNAcentral
AGUGAACGCUGGCGGUAGGCCUAACACAUGCAAGUUGAACGGCAGCACAGUAAGAGCUUGCUCUUACGGGUGGCGAGUGGCGGACGGGUGAGGAAUACAUCGGAAUCUACUUUUUCGUGGGGGAUAACGUAGGGAAACUUACGCUAAUACCGCAUACGACCUACGGGUGAAAGCAGGGGAUCUUCGGACCUUGCGCGAUUGAAUGAGCCGAUGUCGGAUUAGCUAGUUGGCGGGGUAAAGGCCCACCAAGGCGACGAUCCGUAGCUGGUCUGAGAGGAUGAUCAGCCACACUGGAACUGAGACACGGUCCAGACUCCUACGGGAGGCAGCAGUGGGGAAUAUUGGACAACGGGCGCAAGCCUGAUCCAGCAAUACCGCGUGGGUGAAGAAGGCCUUCGGGUUGUAAAGCCCUUUUGUUGGGAAAGAAAAGCAGCAGGUUAAUACCCCGCUGUUCUGACGGUACCCAAAGAAUAAGCACCGGCUAACUUCGUG